UAAGCAUAUCAAUAAGCGGAGGAAAAGAAACCAACAGGGAUUGCCCUAGUAACGGCGAGUGAAGCGGCAACAGCUCAAAUUUGAAAUCUGGCUCUUUCAGAGUCCGAGUUGUAAUUUGCAGAGGGCGCUUUGGCUUUGGCAGCGGUCCAAGUUCCUUGGAACAGGACGUCACAGAGGGUGAGAAUCCCGUACGUGGUCGCUAGCUAUUGCCGUGUAAAGCCCCUUCGACGAGUCGAGUUGUUUGGGAAUGCAGCUCUAAAUGGGAGGUAAAUUUCUUCUAAAGCUAAAUAUUGGCCAGAGACCGAUAGCGCACAAGUAGAGUGAUCGAAAGAUGAAAAGCACUUUGGAAAGAGAGUCAAACAGCACGUGAAAUUGUUGAAAGGGAAGCGCUUGCAGCCAGACUUGCUUGCAGUUGCUCAUCCGGGCUUUUGCCCGGUGCACUCUUCUGCAGGCAGGCCAGCAUCAGUUUGGGCGGUGGGAUAAAGGUCUCUGUCAUGUACCUCUCUUCGGGGAGGCCUUAUAGGGGAGGCGACAUACCACCAGCCUAGACUGAGGUCCGCGCAUCUGCUAGGAUGCUGGCGUAAUGGCUGUAAGCGGCCCGUCUUGAAACACGGACCAAGGAGUCUAACAUCUAUGCGAGUGUUUGGGUGUCAAGCCCGAGCGCGUAAUGAAAGUGAACGGAGGUGGGAACCCGCAAGGGUGCACCAUCGACCGAUCCUGAAGUUUACGGAAGGAUUUGAGUAAGAGCAUGGCUGUUGGGACCCGAAAGAUGGUGAACUAUGCUUGAAUAGGGUGAAGCCAGAGGAAACUCUGGUGGAGGCUCGCAGCGGUUCUGACGUGCAAAUCGAUCGUCAAAUUUGGGCAUAGGGGCGAAAGACUAAUCGAACUAUCUAGUAGCUGGGUUCCUGCCGA
RNAcentral lists this ribosomal RNA (912 nucleotides) under Exserohilum rostratum. RNAcentral's name for it is "partial 28S ribosomal RNA". It matches the Rfam family "Eukaryotic large subunit ribosomal RNA", at positions 35 to 964 of the family's 3401-position model. The record is from RNAcentral. Lineage: Eukaryota; Fungi; Ascomycota; Dothideomycetes; Pleosporales; Pleosporaceae.